This 250-nucleotide ribosomal RNA is filed under the name uncultured prokaryote. RNAcentral describes it as "partial 16S ribosomal RNA". It matches the Rfam family "Bacterial small subunit ribosomal RNA", at positions 524 to 773 of the family's 1533-position model. The record is from RNAcentral.
UACGUAGGGAGCGAGCGUUGUCCGGAAUUACUGGGUGUAAAGGGAGCGUAGGCGGAUUUGCAAGUUGAAUGUGAAAUUCAUGGGCUCAGCCCAUGAACUGCGUUCAAAACUGUAGGUCUUGAGUGAAGUAGAGGCAAAUGGAAUUCCUAGUGUAGCGGUGAAAUGCAUAGAUAUUAGGAGGAACACCAGUGGCGAAAGCGAUUUGCUGGGCUUUAACUGACGCUGAGGCUCGAAAGCAUGGGGAGCAAAC